RNAcentral lists this long non-coding RNA (12918 nucleotides) under Lactuca sativa (garden lettuce). RNAcentral describes it as "long non-coding RNA (LSAT_LNC002429)". Lineage: Eukaryota; Viridiplantae; Streptophyta; Magnoliopsida; Asterales; Asteraceae. The record is from RNAcentral.
UCGAAAUCACUCCAUAAAAUUAAACCCUAGCUAGAAAGGAAGAGUGGUUGUAUUCUUUGGCGGUGAAAGAGAGAAAGAGAUUGAAGUUGUGGAGGAAGGUUAAGAAAUAAGAAGAAGAAGUCGGAAGGGAGGGAACUGCCACCAUCGACUUGGUCAUCGGCCUAAACUCUCAUUGGAAGCAUAGGUAUAGGGAACGAGGUAGAGAGAAUUAGAGAGAGGAAUAAAUGACAUGUAGAAAACGACUGUGUAGUGGGUAUGAAGGUUGUUUAAAAACUCAUAAUUUCAUAGUUGUUCUCUGACGAAGAUAUUAACCAAGAACAACUCAUAAGUGUGGGUGUCAUGUUUAAGAUUUAUGCAUGAGGAAGGAAAACACAACAAAAGAAGAAGUGCAGAGGACACCGAAGAUGGAGAAUAUGAGUGCUAGACAGAGAGACAGAGAGCCAACAUAAAAGGUUCAAAGUGAUGGUCUGAGCUCUUCACCAUUGUUUAUGGCCUACUCAUGUGGGUUUUACACCAACAUAGCUUUUGAGGAGUUGCUACCACCACUUUCAGUACCGGUCUCGUGAGGGUCCUCCAAUGAUGUUGGGUCAACUCAUCAUCACCGGAGUUGGAAGCACCACUGGAGAAAUGGGUUAGUUGAAGUUUCCAUGGGGAGGGGAGGGUUGUACGACAUGGAUGAAGUGAGGUACCUCCCUUUGAGCUUAUUUGACCUUUUCAUUUAAAUGAGUUGGACGUUGGGCUAUGCAGUAAAUCCUAGUGGGCCUUGUUUUAAAUUAAAUAAAAGUUACCCCAUCCUGAUUAAUGUGUUGGGCCAUUUUAGCUUCAUGUUACAAUUCAUUGAUAUCUUUGGUGAUGCUAUGUCGAUUCGUAUAUGUAUCAUCUAAUUUUAGAGAAAUAAAUAUAUUUUGACUAAAUGAUUUUAGUUAAUUAUCUAGUUUAUAGAUUUGGCUUACGAAUGUAUUUUAUAAAUAAAAUAUGAAUAUAAUUGAAUUAAGGUGUAUUAUUAAGUAAUAUUUGAAUUGUGAACUAAGUAAAGAUUAUUUAUAUGGCUCUAGGAGUUCAGAGAUCUGGAAACCCAUUUUAGCCACUUUAGUGGUCCUUAUCCUACGAUUGCUGCUUCAGGUGAGUUUCCCUCAUUGUACUUGUAGGUCGAGGGCACCAAUAUCGGCCUAAUGGAUUAUGUAUCCUAGUAUAUUGGAUGAUGUUAUGUUGGCUAUAUGAUAGAAUGGUGGAUCUAUAUGAUUACCUGUAUCCCCUGGUUACGUGUUAGACUAGUAGAUCUAUAUGAUUACGUGUACUUGUUGGUUAUUAAUUGUUAUUGUAUAUGUCGACAUUUUAUGGUUUGUUCGGUUGAGGUGGUCCUACUUUGUGUUGAAGGCCAAGAUACCCAGGGUGGUAUGUUAGGUUGUAGGCCCAAUGAGGCGGUUCAGUCAGCCUGAAUGCCCAAAGAGCGGUCUGGAUAGGUUGAAGGCCCUGCAAGGUGGUCCAGUCAGGCCAAAGACUCGAAGAGCGGUUCAGAUAGGUUGAAGGCCCUACGAGGCGGUCCAUUCAGGCCGAAGGCUUUGAGAGCAGUCCAGAUAGACUAUAGGCCCUGCAAGGCGGUCUAGUAAUGUUGAAGGCUCUUAUAUGCAUGAUGCUGUUUGUUUGGUAGUGUGUGGUACUUUUGGGGAACUCACUAAGCUUUUGCUUACAGUUUGAAUUUAUAGUUUCAAGUACUUAAGAGGAUAUGGGCAAGGUGAAGGCUUGAUCGAGCACAUCAUCUUGGACUUUAUGAGAUUAUGAUUUUGGGAUACUCUGAUUCAUAUUUAUGACAUUUGGAAACUAUGUUUUGUAAACACUUUUGGUUUUGGAUUGGUUUCAAAAAUGAAAAUUUUACCUUAAUUUUUGGGAUGCUACAAGUUGGUAUCAGAGCCCUGGUUUGAGAGAAUUGGAUGAACACUUGUGUGAUUCCAGACUCAAACAAAGGAUCUGCAAAAUAUAUUUCAAAAAUUAACUCUAAAUAGACCAAAAAAAAGGAUGCAAUUUGUACAAUCAGCUGGAGCCAAGGAAAGUGUUCCCCAAGAUACCCAUACUUCUUUUGUGUAUUGAUGAUAUGAUAUAACUGAAUGCUAGUUGUUGGCUAAGGAUCUUUAGGGAUUCAUGAUAGAAUUUCCUGAUUCAUGAUGCAUGGUAGUCUAGGAUAAUUUCUUGAUAUGAUAUAUGGAACUGACAUUAUUAUUGUGGUUGCUUAGUAUAUGCAUCAUAAUUAUACAUAACCAAGAUUUUAUACCCUAAGAAUGUUUGAUUUAGACUUAUUUUAUGUUCCUUGUCUGUUUGUGGGCUUAGGUUAGAAUCAAGUAUUCAACUGUAUAUCGAAUCUAUUUUUAUGUAUUAUUAGCAUACAUGAGCUGUUGCAUGGUUAGUGGAAGUUUAAUGAGUGGGUGUGGUUUGUAAUAGGCCAAUGUGAGGCAAAAUUAGCCAUGAAAGAGGGAGAGAGAGAGAUAGUAAGUAUAGGAUGUAUGUGUAUUCUAGGAAGUGCUUCAGUAUGAAUGGUGUACUGUUUAGCGGGUUUUUAGGAGUAUCAGCAUGAGUAGUUACUUAGAGGAUACGAAGUGAUUCUUAAGGAAAGUGUGGAUAGGCUUGGAAGGUAGUAUUGGGCCCGUACUAGUGAAAGCACAGGAUAUGUACUAGAAUCAAGGAAAAUUUCAGGGAUUCUAAGGAGCUAGUUGAGGGUAGAUUGUAUGGUUUGGCACCAUGAUUCAUUGCAAUGUAUUUUUGUCUUAUUCGGUUUAUCGGUUAUGGAUGUUUAGGCUGAGGAUAGAUCUAGUGAUUGUUUGGUCCUUAGUGGCCAUGUCAGUUUGGGUUUGAAUGGUGUUGACCAAGGUGAGCUAGUUGGUUUUGAGGUCUCGAGGUCCUUACUCGAGGUAGUCCCAGUUAAGUCGUGGUGCUCAAGAAGGAAGCGGUUGUUAUGGUCAGGUCGAGGAUUGCAGUCGGAGGACAAGUGACUGGAAGGUGGAUUGGGAUGUCACUAUCUAUGACGGGAUUUACGUUCUUCCAGCUUUCCGAAUUCGGAGGAAAGAGAGAGCAAACAUGGAUUUCUAAAGUUGAGGUAUAGACCCGGCAUGGGGCUAAAUAUUUUCGAUUAUGGAAGCAAGUAUGGAAGUAUGGGAAUGAACAAGAGGAUUCUUGUGGUAUGGAUUCCUUGAGAUGACGUCAAGGGUCAUCUUUCUUUGAAUAUAGGUAGGUCAUGUGCUAGUUGAUUAUUUCAGGUGGUUAGGGAAGUGAAACGGGAACAAUAACAUUUGUUGUCGCAGAUGUAUCCUGACUAUGAGAAUGAUGCCUCUAGUAUAUAUGAGUGAUCCUCGCGAUGAAAUGAUGGUUGGGGAUUUGUAGACAAGGUGUGUGGUAGUUUAUUUGUUUAUAGAUAAAGAAUGGGUGCUAUGAAUGGACUUUCAGAAUUACUGCUUGUGCAUCUGCAUGGGAUUCUUGAUAUUAGAGGCGGUUAUACAUGGGAAGUUUUUGGGGUAUCCAUCUGAGAUUCAUAAUCUCUUUGAGUUUGCUUGGUCUUUAUCUAGAACAUCAUCUUGCGUUGUUCUAUACAUUCCAAUGGUUAGGGAUUAUAUACCUGGUUGAUUCGGAUUGAGCUUUGGUCUAUUUGCAAGGAAGCUUAUAAGUGCGGGUGUCGUGUUCAAGAUUUACGCAUGAGGAAGGAAAACACAAUGAAAGAAGAAGUGUAGAGGAAAUCAAAGAUGGAGAAUAUAAGUGCUAGACUGAGAGAGAGCCAACAGAAAAGGUUCAAAGUGGUGGUCUGAGCUCUUUACCACUAUUUUUGGUCUACUCAGAUGGGUUUUAUACCAACAAGCUUUUAAGGAGUUGCUACUACCACUUUCAGUACUGGUCUUGUGAGGGCCCACCGAUGAUGCUGGGUCGAAUCGUCAUCACCAGAGUUGGAAGCAUCGCCUGAGAAAUGGGUUAGCCAUAGAAGAAGGAGUCGCUGCCAUGUGGAGGGGAGGAUUGUAUAACAUCGAUGAAGUGAGGUACCUCCCUUUAACUUUAUUUUAUUUUUUCAUUUAAAUGGGUUGGACGUUGGGCUAUGUAAUAAAUCCUGGUGGGCCUUGUUUUAAAUUAAAUGAAAGUUAGCCCAUCCUUAUUAUUGUGUUGGGCCAUUUUAGCUUCAUGUUACAAUUCAUUGAUAUCUUUGGCGAAGCAAUGUCGAUUCAUAUAUGUGAUGGGUUUUGGUCAUAAGACAUCCUAUGUGCUCAUACAAACCCUAAUGCUUGGAUCUAGGUUUCUCUAUUGUACAUGCUUUGAAUCCAAGACUAUAAACCCUAAUUCUAGCAUAUGGAAAUCAAUAUUAACAUAUAAUUAGGUUUAUGAUAUUACCUUGAUUGUUAUGUAGCAAUAACAAUCCCAAUUCCUCAUUGAAUUGACUUUGGAAGGCUUAGAGUCACAAGUGUCACUCCUCUAAUGGUUUACAAACACCAUAAGCAAGUGGAGAAGGUAUAAAGAGAGAGGAGAGGUGUUAGAAUUCGUCUCUAGGACUUCUUGGGAAGGGUUGGACGAAUUCAUGAGCCUUAGGGGGUUUAUAUAGGUGUAAAGAUUAGGGUUUUAGUCCUUAUCCUUAUCUAGUUGCUUGCCCACCAAGCAACCAUAAGAUAAGUCUUAGAAACCCUUAUCCUAGUCGAAUUCUAAGGCAUUAUCUCCUUAAAUUCGUUCACCCUAUAUUUAAGAUAAUCCUUACCUUAUUUUGUAACUAUCACAUAAUUACAAUUCAGCCCCUCUAGUUUAAUUAAUUACACUUGAUCACAAAAUUAAUUCUUAAUUAAUUAUUGACCAAUAUUAAUUAAACAAAUAUGAUUUCUCCUUUAAUAUAUUAUUCUUAUAACAUAUUAAUAAAUCAUAAUAACCUCUCUCUCUAUUUAUUUCUCCAAUCAAGUUGCUUUGGUGAAGGCAACCCAAAAGGACCAUGCACCAUCGGGUCAAGUACAUACCAAAAUAGUUAUGGACUUAGACACUAAUCCAACAGUCUCCCACUUGGAUAAGUCUAAUAACUAUUCUGCGUAUGACUUCAGAUCCUGAUCUGCAAUCGUAGCUUUCCAAAGCCGCUGUCAACUCUGAUCCUAUCAGAUACGCGUGUCCUUAGAUAAGGGAUCAUAUAUUCCUCCAUUCUAGAUAUCAUAUGAGAUAUGAUUUCAAAUCAUUCUCUUUGUACUAUAUCUCGAUUUCUGAUUUAUGACGACUGACUAAUUGAACAAAUCAAAUUAGCCCUAGCCCGGCCGAGCAUUUACGUUUGUCAUCACUAAACCAUCGAGGGGCCCAAAGAUAUCGCUUUUAUCCUACUUUGGAUAAAAGGAACGGAUAAACUUUGAUACAAUGCUUGCUUGUACUCACGCACCGAAUCACACACAACAAUAUGUUUUAUAACACCAAGUUACUGGUGCGUUUACAUAUUAUCAAUGUGCAACCGAUUUGCAAGAUACAACUCACACAUCUCGGUUUCAAGAAUAUAAGAUGUUAUCGUCUCACCAAUCACUCGUGAUACAAUUCAUGGAGUGAUCCAAGUGAGCGUGGGUUUAAUCCAAUGCUCAAAUCAUAUUCAUAAGCACUCAUGAACGUUGCAGCAAACAUUUGCUUAUGUCUAAUACUCUUUUAGACAAUCCACACACCAAUUCACGACAGUCUUCAUUCAUAUCUACUUCCAACAUAUGAACGACUGUGGCCCGUUCGAAUAAUUCGAUUAUUCUUAAUAAACUCAAUUAUUCUGGAAGUCAAAACAUGCAAAUGUGAAACACAAGAAUAAUACUAAUCCCAUAUGGCCUCAAACCUUUGAGUAUAAAUAAAACACCUUUUAUUUAUCACCAUAUUGAUUACUCAUUAUUUGUCGUUUCGGGUAAUCAACUUCUUACUUGAAUUACAACACUUGUCCCAUGCUCCUAGCAUGCACACAAUGUUUACCUAUGGUUCUUACUUUGUGAAAUAGAUCACAUUGAACACAUUUCCAAUCAUUCUCAUUUCACAACUCCAAAUCCUUUUUAUAAGUGAAAGAAUAUCAAAUUCUUGCUACUUAUAGAAUAUGCUAGAUUCUAACAUUCUAUGCAACUUAUCCUUUCGUAAUGUCACUGCACCAAAGUCACAAAGACUAUUGCCAAUGAUAUUACAAAGUCCUCUAUCGGAGAUUGUUACAAGACAAUUCCAUAGAUGUGAUGUCUCUCACUCAAAGUACAUUCUUUGAACAUCCUUUUGCAUAGAAGUUUCUAAUCUAGUCAUAGAUUUCUCAAUAUUCAAUUCCCAAUAUGGACACACUUCCAUAUGUUCCAUAUGACAACUCAUUCUUAAUAGAAUCUUAUCUAUUCGUAAUGAUGUCGAUAUGGUCCAUCCAAUAUGGAAACAUUUCCAUAUUUUCCAAUACUAUACUUCCAACUACUCACAAGCGACCAAUCCUCGUCGAACUUUGGAUUGUCCUUUGAUAGUUGUUUAAUUAUUUUAGUCAAAACCGAUUCUAGUCCUUUUUCCCUCUAAAUGCGCUAGACAUUUGGAAAAUUUUAGAAUGGUCAAACAUUAAAGCAUUUGCAAUCGAUCCUAUACCCGAAGCGUAUGGGACACGACGCAUAAUGUUUUAUUUGCUAUGUUCUCAAAAUUCGAAUUGUGAAGAGGGAUGCCGUAAUCAUAAUCGAAAUUUUAAGAACACACUUUGUACCUUUGACUAAAUUUUAUUAACAUUUCUCAACCUAAACCUUUAGAUUUGAAAUGAAGCAUAAUAUUCUCUCCCUUAAUUAUAGCAAAACAACUCUUCAACUAUUGCGACUUUGCAAAGUAUGACUCUUGUUUUCUAUAAUUAAUAUUGCUAACCUUGCAAUACUUUCCUUAAUAAUCAUACAAUCAUAACUUUUAUGCUCCCACUAUCUUGAUGAUUAUUAUAAAACAUAACACUUAUGCUCCCACUAGCUUCGACAUGUAUUCAUAAACAUCUUAACUUUCAGAAAAAAAAUGCUUAUUGAAUUUCUUAAGUUCAUGUUUCUAAUACUUAGUGCUUUGAUAAUCUUUUAUCAAGGCUUCUUGAACUUAUACACCUUUGCCUUCGAUAGUUCAUAUGUGUGUCUAAACAAUUAAGACUAAUUGCCAAACCUCACAAUUCAAAUUAUGGAAAGGGAUGCCGUAACCAUAAUUGAAUUCGAGAAUGCAAUUUUACAAUCACUAUCUUCUUAAAAUCUGUCUUAGUGAAAGCAUUUCCUCACAAUCAUUUUCAUGAAGGAGGAAAUCUUAUGACACUUAGAUUUAAACGGUGUAUUUGUUCCUAUCCAUGUGAAUUUGUCAAAACCAAAGUUUACGACAAAUUCAAACUCUUAUGGAUCGAACUUUCUUGAUCUCGAUUUCUUGCCUUUAUGGUAGCACAGCUGCCCACCAUGUCUUCCAAGUAGUUAAGCAGCUCACCCUUUCCUAUCAAUGUACCUUUCAUUGAUUAAGGUGCUUUGCCUUUUAUGCGUUCAAAAUGAGAACUCAUAGAACUCACAUGCAUAAUUAACUCGAUUGGAUUGGCACAGAAUCAAAAUAAUGUCAACACGAUAGGUUGUAAACCUCAACUCGUGUGCUAGUGAUGAUCGAUAAGGUUUAUUUGAUUUGUUCUUGAAACCUUUCAAGACCAUUAAGACUCCCACUGACUCCUUGACAUAUAAGAUUCUCUUGUCAAAAAACAUUUCUUGACAAACAAAUAUUCAAGAGUUAGUGUAGCUUUUAUCAAAACACUUCAUAAAUUGGUCCUAGUUGGUCUUUGUCUUAUCCAAGACAUCACAACUUUCCACAUUUAAUGAAUGUUAUAAACCUUCUUAAUACUUUUCACUCAAUGUCACAAUCUUAACUUUAAGACUUGUUAUUGGAACGAAGUAUGAUUGACUUAUUGAUUUAACCAUUUCUUCAAUUCUUGAUUCCUCUUCUUAGACAUACAAUUGUACUAAGACUCACUUAGAGGAUCAAUUGAGAUAUGGUUCUUAAUCAUUAAGACCUAUCAUAAAGCAUAAAAGGUACUCUCCCUUCUUCUUAGAAUGGAGAAACUUUUAUCUUUCUGCCUACUUGAUUCUUCUUAUUCGUUCUGCUAUUGAUUUAAACCUUUUCAAUCAAUUCAGAAUUACACUUAAUCUUAUAAGUAUAAUCAUAUUUACUAAACCUUUAGUAAAUCAUGACGAAUAUCUUUGUUACUCUUAUGGUGGACUUGAUCAACACGCAACUUUGUGUACUCGAUCUCCUAGUCCUUCACUUGACACUUUGUCAAUGAAUUAGUCUAAUUUCCAAAUAUGAAAUUUCUCAUUCAUCGUGCAACCAAGUUGCAUGAUUCCAAGUUUCUGUCCAAUUGAAACUUGGGCGAUGAGAAACUCUCCCUAUUUGGUAAAUUCUCGACUUUCCAUAAAUAACAUAAUAAGAACCAAAUCCAUUAUUGCUAAUAAUAGAAACAUUUUAACAUCAAUUUUUCAUACACGCCAUUGUAAGGAUAAAUAAAUAAAAUUUAAAAUCAAAAUUUAUUUUAUUGCGGAAAAAUUUGUCCUUACAAUGCAAUUCAUUGAAAAACUUAUGCUAAUACAUCUUUCUUAGCAAUCUAAUUCUAACUCUAAGUAGUAGCUCAAGAAUCUAAUCUUCGAGAAAUGCGAUCGAAAUCCAUUCCUUCACGGUUAGAUUCUGCUCACUUCUUCCCUUAAGCUUCCUUUCUUUUCUUCGAUCCUACAAAACAUCAAUUGUAAUCUUAUCACAUUAUGUAUUAAGAAUCUAGAAUAGAAGCUUAAAAGAGUUAGUUAAUGGAUUUUACCUAUAUUAGAGCCAUACGUUUCGACUCUCCCAUCUCUUAGAUCUCUUAGGUAAAUGGGGCAGCUUCGUCUCCAAUGCCCCUUCUCUUGGCAAUAAAAGCAAAUCGACUCUUUUGGAACAGGACAUGGAACUACUUCAGACAUCGCCUUUCUCUUAUGAUCAAACUUUUCGAUCAUAGCAUGUCUUUCGUUGCCAUUGUCUAUAUCCAUAGAGGUCUUGAAGGCAGAUUCACCAAUCAACUUUGCUUUUCUAUUGCGCCAAACCAUUGCUGAUUCAGCAACAAUAAGCAUAUAGGUGAGAUCUAUAAGGGUCACGUCGUAGUUCAUCAUAUAGUACUCUCUUACGAACUCACUAUAUGAGUUGGGAAGUGACUGAAGAACCCAAUCAACAGCCAUUUCCUCACAGACAACGGAUCCCAACAUUCUUAACCUAUCAAUGUGUGACUUCAUCCCUAGGACGUGUGCACACACCGACUUUCCUUCUUUAUGUUUACUUGCCAAAAGGGCUUGAGUGAUCUUGAACUUUUCAAGCCUUUGAACUUGUGGGUUAGGGAGAAUAAUUGGAGGAGGUGGAGGAAGUGAAGCAUGAUUUCUUGUUCCUCGAUCGAAUCGUGGAAUAUCAUCUUCAUGUGGAAUGCUUGUUCCACGGGAUUUGGGAAGACCAUAGUUGUCGAACUUUGACAUCUACAAAACGGGAGAAAACGAAUUCAAGUUAGUUGAUUGAUUGAGUCCUUAGUAAAUCACCCAAAUGAGAUACUAAGGCUAGGACCCAACACAAUAUUCUACAACUCGGGAGAGGGAUGCCGUAACCCAAAUUGCAGAACAUUUGAAGGUAAGUGAAUGACGAUUCACUAAUUUCCACCAUGAAAAACGAAAAAGAAAUUUAAGUUUUAAAUCUAUGAAAACUCCUAGAUCCUUUGAGAUUCAUUGAACAUUUCAAUGGCAUGUUUAAAUCUCGAUAUGCCCCUCUUGUUUGUGACUGGGAUGCCGAGGAUCACAAAGCGGGUGUGAAUAACCAUGCAAACUUACAUGGUGCCCUCACAUGUUACAGUCACCUAUUCGAUGUGCCGGUAAACCACACACGCUCCACCGAACUAUGACAAACAUUGAGUCACCCUUUGCUACCUUUGCUUAGAACCAUUUAGUGUGCCGGUAAACCACACACGCUCCACUAACGUCUUCGCAAGGGCACAAAGUGUAAUUUCAUGGAAUUGCAUCAAUUCACUUUUGCCUAAGUAACUAAGAUUGGGAAUUUUAUGAAAACAUUUAGUUACUUUUAUACUUCAUUAUACUUAUAAUGGAAGGUUUCGUCCUAUCCUACCCGUUCGGCUAACGACCCUCCACUAGUCAAGAGUGCGGUGGGUAAGAGUGGAUACCCAUUCAAUCGCCAUUUUAUAGGCAAUUUCCUUAAACACCCCUUAUAGACCAGCUUCGUGAAUGAGGCCUACUAACGGUAAGACUGACUUUUACUCAUACAUAUAUAUAAUGUUAGACUUUUAAUGUUAUAUAUAGUAUAGGGUGUAUUUUACACUUUUAAAAUACUAGGUGGUCAAAUUUAACAAUUAUACUUUUAAUUCAAUUAAAUUGUAAACCUAAACUUUUAUGGAUUUAUUAAACCUCUUUUAAUUAUACACCUUAAUUAAUUAAUAAAACCAUAAGGGUGUGAUUUGAACUUUUUCAAAACUAUACUAGAGUUUUAGAAUUUAACAUUCCUAAUUAAACUUUUAAUCAACUUUUAAAUUCCAAAACUUGAGGGCAAGUUUUGAAACAUUUCAACACAUUAGGGUUUAGAAUUUAAAUAUACAUCAAAAUUAAACUAUUUAAUCAAAAUUUAAAUUCCAAAACUUGAGGGCAAGUUUUGAAACCUUUUUCAAAACAUUAGGGUUUCAACUAUUUAAAUUUCAAAACAACAAAACUUUUGGGUUCAAAUUUAAACUAUAAAACCUAAAGGGGAAAAUAUGAAACUUUUCAUAACAACAAGGAUCAAAUAACAAAUAAUCUAAAUUAACAUUUAAUCACAUAAUUAUCCAUAUUUGAUUUAUUUAAUGAUUUCUUGCAAAACAAUUUAUCAAUUUAGUCAAAAUAAUUAAUCAAUUAUCACAUAAGGAAACAAUUAUCUUAUUAAUUGAUAAAUAUCUUCAAUUAGAUCAAAAAUAUAGUCAAAUAUAUCAUAAAAUCGGAUUAAUAUUGAUCUAAUAUGAUAAGGUAACUAUCCAUAAGCAAAAACAGCAAGAAAUCCCGAAGUACCCUCCAUCUGACGAGUUGACUCGUCGAGUCAGGCUUGGACUCGUCGAGUCACCUUGGACUCGGCGAGUUCAGCUAUGGACUCGGCGAGUCCAGCCUCCAGAAACCCAAAAAACGAAUUUUCCAGAUAUACAAUGCAUCAAUACAAUUGAAACCAAGCUAGGCUCUGAUACCACUGAUGGGUUUUGGUCAUAAGACAUCCUAUGUGCUCAUACAAACCCUAAUGCUUGGAUCUAGGUUUCUCUAUUGUACAUGCUUUGAAUCCAAGACUAUAAACCCUAAUUCUAGCAUAUGGAAAUCAAUAUUAACAUAUAAUUAGGUUUAUGAUAUUAUCUUGAUUGUUAUGUAGCAAUAACAAUCCCAAUUCCUCAUUGAAUUGACUUUGGAAGGCUUAGAGUCACAAGUGUCACUCCUCUAAUGGUUCACAAACACCAUAAGCAAGUGGAGAAGGUAUAAAGAGAGAGGAGAGGUGUUAGAAUUCGUCUCUAGGACUUCUUGGGAAGGGUUGGACGAAUUCAUGAGCCUCAGGGGAUUUAUAUAGGUGUAAAGAUUAGGGUUUUAGUCCUUAUCCUUAUCUAGUUGCUUGCCCACCAAGCAACCAUAAGAUAAGUCUUAGAAACCCUUAUACUAGUCGAAUUCUAAGGCAUUAUCUCCUUAAAUUCGUUCACCCUAUAUUUAAGAUAAUCCUUACCUUAUUUUGUAACUAUCACAUAAUUACAAUUCAGCCCCUCUAGUUUAAUUAAUUACACUUGAUCACAAAAUUAAUUCUUAAUUAAUUAUUGUCAAUAUUAAUUAAACAAAUAUGAUUUCUCCUUUAAUAUAUUAUUCUUAUAACAUAUUAAUAAAUCAUAAUAACCUCUCUCUCUCUCUCUAUUUAUUUCUCCAAUCAAGUUGCUUUGGUAAAGUCAACCCAAAAGGACCAUGCACCAUCGGGUCAAGUACAUACCAAAAUAGUUAUGGACUUAGACACUAAUCCAACAAUAUGUAUCAUGCAAUUUUAGAGAAAUAAAUAUAUUUUGACUAAAUGAAUUUAUUUAAUUAUCUAGUUUAUAGACUAGGCUUACGAUUGUAUUUUAUAAAUAAAAGAUGAAUAUAAUUGUAUUAAGGUGUUUAUUAAGUAAUAUUUGAACUGUGAGCAAAGUAAAGAUUAUUUAUAUGGUUCUAGGAGUUCAGAGAUGUAGAAACCCAUCUUGGCCACUUUAGUGGUCUUUAUCCUAUGAUUGCUGCUUCAGGUGAGUUUUCCUCAUUGUCCUUAUGGGUCGAAGGUACCUAUGUCAGCUCAAUGGAUUAUGUAUCAUGGUAUAUUGGAUGAUGUUAUGCUGGCUAUAUGAUAGACUAGUAGAUUCGUAUGAUUACCUAUAUGUCCUGGUUACGUGUUAAACUGGUAGAUAUGUAUGAUUACAUGUACUUGUUGGUUAUUGAUUGUUAUUGUCUAUGUCAACAUGUUAUGGUUUGCUGGGUUGAGGUGGUCCUACUUUGUGUUGAAGGCCAAAAUACUCGGGGUAGUCCGGAUAGGUUGUAGGCCUGGUGAGUGGGUCCAGUCAGGACGAAUGUCUGGAGAGUGGUCCGGAUAAACUGAAGGCCUUAUGAAGCGGUCUAGUCAAAUCGAAGGCUCGAAGAGCGAUCUGGAUAGGGUGAAGGCCCUACAAGGCAGUCCAUUCAGGUCGAAGACUCGGAGAGCGGUCCAGAUAGGCUGUAGGCCAUGUGAGGCAGUCCAGUCAUGCUGAAGGCUCAUAUAUACAUGUUGUUAUCUUUUUGGCUGUGUAGGGAACUCACUAAGCUUUGACUUACAGUUUGAAUUUAUGGUUUUAGGUACUUCUGAGGAUAAUGGGAAGGUGAAGGCUUGAUCGUGCACAUCAUCCUAGUUUUUUGAGAUUAUGAUUUUGGGAUACUCUGAUUCAUG